Molecule: small nucleolar RNA, 74 nt
Organism: Spea bombifrons (plains spadefoot toad)
Lineage: Eukaryota; Metazoa; Chordata; Amphibia; Anura; Pelobatidae
Product: small nucleolar RNA SNORD24
Exons: 1
Source: RefSeq, a predicted model, not a curated record
UGCAGAUGAUGCAAAGAAUAUUUGCUAUCUGAUUGUCUCUGAUGACAAACUUAUCCACCAAGAUCGCUGAUGCA